GACAGAGGGCGCGAGCGUUGUUCGGAAUCAUUGGGCGUAAAGCGCGCGCAGGCGGACGUGCAAGUCGGGAGUGAAAUACCGGGGCUCAACUCCGGGGCGGCUCCCGAAACUGCGGGUCUAGGGACCGGUAGAGGCCGGUGGAAUUCCCGGUGUAGCGGUGGAAUGCGUAGAGAUCGGGAAGAACACCCGUGGCGAAGGCGGCCGGCUGGGCCGGAUCCGACGCUGAGGCGCGAAAGCGUGGGGAGCAAAC
This 250-nucleotide ribosomal RNA is filed under the name uncultured bacterium. Its description in RNAcentral is "partial 16S ribosomal RNA". It matches the Rfam family "Bacterial small subunit ribosomal RNA", at positions 524 to 773 of the family's 1533-position model. The record is from RNAcentral.